Long non-coding RNA from Mastomys coucha (southern multimammate mouse), 625 nucleotides. RefSeq lists it as uncharacterized. The transcript is spliced from 2 exons. The record is from RefSeq and is a predicted model, not a curated record. NCBI's taxonomy places the organism in Eukaryota, Metazoa, Chordata, Mammalia, Rodentia, Muridae.
AGCUUCCAUUCACAGAGACUUCUACUGGUGCUGGGUUGGUUUGGUAACAUUCCAAGUCUGUCUACAGAGUCUGCUGUCUGCAGCUGCAAAGUUCCACAAUCUCUCCUUCUCUAAACCUGACAAAAAGUCAAGUCUCAGAUUAAAAAAAUAAAUAAGAGAAUGUCAGACCCAGCAUGAUCAAAUUAGGGAACAAUGAUUCCCUCGGCACUGUCCAUUUGAACAGCAUCUUACAUGAACAUUAGUCCUGUCAACAAGUGGCCUGACACAUCUGCUUUCAUCCUACAAACUGAAAAAUGAUGUUUGACCUAAAAUAGUUAAGGCCAAUAUGAAGGAAUCAUGAUUCAUCAAGGAGUUAUUUCUCAAUGAUAAUAAAAAAAAAAUCAAUGAAACACAUGUAAACAUCCAUGAGCUGCAUAAACAUUUCAUGUGUGGCAUAUUCUGUCAGGCAUGCAAUUAGAGUUCACACAAAGACUGCUGUCCAGAGAAAUCAAGUUGGAUCAUAAGAAAUUAUGCAACAGAUAGGAACAUUGUAAAAGAUGAGUAUAUGCUGUUUACCACAUUUCUCUAGCAAUAACUGGGCUUUCCUGUGAAUCCAGAUAUUAAAUAUUAAAAUGAUCUUUGAAUA